This 253-nucleotide ribosomal RNA is filed under the name uncultured bacterium. Its description in RNAcentral is "partial 16S ribosomal RNA". It matches the Rfam family "Bacterial small subunit ribosomal RNA", at positions 524 to 776 of the family's 1533-position model. The record is from RNAcentral.
UACGAAGGGGGCUAGCGUUGUUCGGAAUUACUGGGCGUAAAGCGCGCGCAGGCGGCUAUCCAAGUCAGUGGUGAAAGCCCGGAGUUCAACUCCGGAACUGCCAUUGAAACUGUUUAGCUUGAGUAUGAGAGAGGUGAGUGGAAUUCCCAGUGUAGAGGUGAAAUUCGUAGAUAUUGGGAAGAACACCGGUGGCGAAGGCGGCUCACUGGCUCAUUACUGACGCUCAGGCGCGACAGCGUGGGGAUCAAACAGG